RNAcentral lists this non-coding RNA (171 nucleotides) under human gut metagenome. RNAcentral describes it as "Lysine riboswitch". It matches the Rfam family "Lysine riboswitch aptamer". Rfam says of the family: Riboswitches are metabolite binding domains within certain messenger RNAs that serve as precision sensors for their corresponding targets. Allosteric rearrangement of mRNA structure is mediated by ligand binding, and this results in modulation of gene expression. This family includes riboswitches that sense lysine in a number of genes involved in lysine metabolism, including lysC. The record is from RNAcentral.
UGAAGUAGAGGUUGCGUUAAUCAUCAGUAACCUGUCCGAUGCGUCAGGCCGCAUGAGAAGACAGGCAAAAGGGUGCGACGCCGAAGGAAGAUAUGAUGUCUGAGCAUAUCCUUCUGGGCAUGUGAUGAAGAAUCAUAUGACUGUCAUCCGAGAGGAUGGGGAGCUACUGAA